Long non-coding RNA from Plodia interpunctella (Indianmeal moth), 2580 nucleotides. RefSeq lists it as uncharacterized. The record is from RefSeq and is a predicted model, not a curated record. The transcript is spliced from 2 exons. Lineage: Eukaryota; Metazoa; Arthropoda; Insecta; Lepidoptera; Pyralidae.
CAAGAUUGUGUCAAUUAUUUUUGGCAUUGUCACAGUGUCACAUUUUACAAAAAUAAAAAAUCACCUUAUAUUUUAGAAUUCACAACAAAAACCAUUGCAAGAAACCAAACAAAUAUUUAUUUAUUUGGUCUUAAUAAGUAACAAUGGAAUCAGCUGCUCGUCCAUGUUCGAUUUCACCGCCGUUGCCUCGAGAUCGACAACCCCCCCCAGAACCCAGAGUGAGGCAGGCGCCCCCACAGCCUCGUCGUUCGACUGCCCAACCUCCGCCUCAACCGAGGGAGCGGCAACCUCCUCCGCAGCCAAGAGAAAGACAAAUGCCACCAUUGCCCAAAUAUUGAUAAUCAAAAGAAGUCAGUCCACACCACAAAGAAUUCGCGCAGACAGGGGCACUGCUUUCUCUGACAAUAACAAAAUUGCCACAAUGUUAUUUAAUUUUUAUAGUUACACAUUAUUACCACAGGAUUACUUUCGUGGCAUGGACUCAGAUGCCUGCUGUGGAAAGUAAGUACUAUAUUAUCAAGCCUACCUUGCUGUUUUUUAGCAAAAGAUUUUAUAAUUAAAACCCGAAGUAGCAUUUAAUCUUACCAUCAUAGUUAUUGUUUUUGGAUUUGAGUACUUAAGUACCUAUAAAGAUUUAGUAUAAUUGCAACACAAAAUCAAUUAAACUUUAAGGGAAAAAGCACAAAAGUGAGAUUUAUAAUGCUCUAGAUACUGGUACUGGCAGGAAAUAAUUUUUUUUGUUACAUUUUUAGUGCCAGUUGUCCAAUUGAACUACCUACUGGGUCAAAAUCGUCUCAGGUGUCCCUCUAUUGUUUCUUAAUAUCUAGUAAUAAAAAAAUAACCACAAUGGUUCACAAUAUUUUUAUCAACAGUACCAUAAAGUGGCCUAUUACAUUACAAUGUUAGGUACAUAACAAACUGGUGGCUUGUCUCACUACUUUGUCAUGAUGUUAAUUCCACAUAUUCUUGAAUGCAAUUUCAAUUAUUCUAUACUUGUUUGGUGCUUUCUAUUAUUAUAUUGCAUACUUAAUUCUGUUCAUCUAAUCAAAAAUAUAUAUAUUGUAUACCAUUAUGCCAAAAAAUAAAUGUUAAGUUAUCAACUUUACCAAAUAAUGUUUAAGUUUACCAAACAUUAUUUAUUUACUUACUUAUUGACAUAACUUCGGUUUUUCAAUAAAUAUAAAAUUAUAUGAGAACCAAAGAAACAGUACUUUGUUAAUGUGAAUUUACCAAUAUUUUUGAGUCACUAUUGACAUAUACACUUUUUAUAUGGUUUAUUUAGGAUAGUUUUGUUAUUACAGAUUAUUCUAAAAUAUAUUUUUUUAUACAGUUCAUUGUUUAAUUUACAUUAUCGUAUUUGUUAUUGUGUAUUUCGAAACAAUUUUCCCAAGAUAUGGUCUCAAGAAAUAUUAUCUACACAGUUUAGUUGGGCUAGGUACUGAAUAAUUAUUUUUUUGCUAAAAAUAUAGAAUAACAGAUUAGGUAACUAUACCCACCAAGACCCAUGUUUGUUAAUGACGAUUUUGGAGAAAGAAGUGGCGCAACAAACUUCACAAGAUUUUUGGAAGUCGGCAGUAUACUUAGUUACAAAAUGAAUUUAUAAGAUAUCUGUAUCUGAAAAUGAGUAUAUCCGUUUUAUCCACUGAGGUACCCAACGCUUUUUGUUCUCGGGAUGGUGGAUUACAGCUCACUCGAGGUUAGACGACAAAUUACCCUAGCGACAUAUUUGUUCGAGCUACUUCGGGGUAGGAACAGCCACCAGGUGGUGCUACAGUGGCUGGCGCUGAAACUGCCGGACAGGUACGUGUGGCGGCGACCUCCUCUGUUCGCGACUCCGCAAGCGAGAACGGAAUUGUUAAGGCAAGCGCCGAUCUCAAGGGCGGUAAAAGAUCUGAACAAGGUCGCUAAUAACAUACGACUUGUUCAACUGUACUUUGACUGAGUUUACAAAAACUAUGAUACAUGAAUUAUCCAAUAGGUACUUAAUUUACAUGACGUCAUAAUUGAUUUUGAAUUUGAUUGUUUUAUUUACAACUUGAAACAAAAUAUUCAAAUUCAGGUAUACAUACCUAAUUUAUGGCAAAUUUGUACAAACACAAACGGGCGUAGUUUAUUUUUUAUUGUAGCCCAUUGAUAUCUACAUCCACCGCGUGGGUGGUGGAAGUACGAGUCGUCAUUUUCUGAUAUUACUAUUGUCUGUUUAAUUUAUCCGAUAUCGCCAGUCAACAUGGGUCGUGCUAUAGUCUUAAUUUUUUUGUUACUUUUAAGCUUCGUAUUAUCUCGUCCGAAAAGGCCGAAGCGUGUCGAAAUGUCGGAAGAAGUGGUAGAUCGCGGCGCAAUCAGAUCUGGUUUCUUGAAUUCUCCGUUCAUCUUUCCUAGAGGAUGUCCUGAAGGCUACCUUUUAGACCCCACUGGACAAUGCAGAGAAGUGUGGGAUAACGAUGUUGGUGACCACGAAACUGCAGAUUAUAGCGAUUUUUAUUCUUAAAUGAUAAAUAAGAAUGAAGGCUUCAUAAUUAUGUGCAAGUGUUUUUAAAACGUAUGUAACAAAUCUGUGACUAAUUAAAAGCAGUAUGUGUU